Molecule: long non-coding RNA, 1011 nt
Organism: Megalobrama amblycephala (Wuchang bream)
Lineage: Eukaryota; Metazoa; Chordata; Actinopteri; Cypriniformes; Xenocyprididae
Exons: 4
Source: RefSeq, a predicted model, not a curated record
UAGUUUUUUUCUAAUUUUUUCGCUUGACAAGUUGUACCCAUUUUGUGAGAAUGUAUUUUGCACCUUUUUAUAGAAAGCCAUUUUGUUCCUAAAGUAGAGUUGCUGAUGAGUCCUUGUUAGCUCCAGUAAGAAUAGUGUCAUUUUAUGUGUUAUUUCUGUAAAAUGGAAAGAGAAAUAUUUUAACACCACAAAAAGAAAAAAGAAAGUAAUUCAACCACAGCACUGGCAUUUAUAUUUUUUACAGUCUUUGAUGCAAUACCUUGUGACUCAUGGCUGUCUGACUGGAUGGAGGGGGGUGACGUUUGAAUGGCUUCUGAAGGGUUUCCACAUACUGCACCAGAUUGGAGAGUAGCAGAUGGUGGGUCCUUGACAGUGGGGAGCUCUUGCUCUACAUAUUAUUACAAAACGCAUCCCAAUGCUGCAACAACUGCGUGUGGGCCUUGAGAUUAUACGAUCUAAUCAAAGUCAUCCAGAAAAAGCCACAGGAGUGUCAUGAUCUCUUUGUCAUUGGAUAUGAUGACAAAGUUGACUCCCAUUACAUUUUAUCCCACCUGGCCCCAGAGAUGAGCCCAAUUGGUUCGAUUAAACAAGUGAAAGAGUCAAAAAUCAUGGAAUUCUUUCAAGAUUUCCUACUUGAACUUGAAGACACACAACCAGAAGACGCAGCAGCAGGAGAAAACUUGUCUGUGCCAAAGAUAAUGCAGUGGAUGACUGGGCAAGCUCACAGGCAUCUGCUUGUGUCAGAAAGGGAGAAGUUUAAUAUAGUGUUUAAAUUUGACCAUUGCUGUCUACAGCACAUGCCAAACCACACUGUGUGUUACCCAAUUGUCAGUGCUUGCACCAAUACCAUAACAUUUCCUGUAGUCCAUAUGGUAGAUUACGAGUCUUUCAAAACACUCAUGCAAACUGCUGUUACAUAUGGGGCAAGCUUUGACAGAGUGUAAUGUAUAUCAAAGCAUUCUCUUUAAUUGCGUUAUUCUUUGUAAAAUUUUUAAAGGGGUAGUUCAUCCA